AACGAACGCUGGCGGCACGUUUUAAGCAUGCAAGUCGAAUGGCAGUGGGGGCAACCCCAUGAGAAUGGCGAACGGGUGAGUAACACGUAGGUGAUCUGCCUGACGGAUGGGGAUAGCUUGUGGAAACACAGGGUAGUACCGCAUGAGCUGACGAGACUUUGGGUUUGUUAGUAAAGGUGCUACGGCACCGCCGACAGAGGAGCCUGCGGCUGAUUAGCUAGUUGGUGGGGUAAAGGUCUACCAAGGCGACGAUCAGUAGCCGGCCUGAGAGGGUGUACGGCCACACUGGAACUGAGACACGGUCCAGACUCCUACGGGAGGCAGCAGCUAAGAAUCUUCCGCAAUGGGCGAAAGCCUGACGGAGCGAUGCCGCGUGAUCGAUGAAGGUCGAGAGAUUGUAAAGAUCUUUUCUACAUGAGGAAUAAGUCUGGGAGGGAAUGCCUGGAUGAUGACGUUAGUGUAGGAAUAAGCCCCGGCUAAUUACGUGCCAGCCGCCGCCGUAA
RNAcentral lists this ribosomal RNA (503 nucleotides) under uncultured bacterium. RNAcentral's name for it is "partial 16S ribosomal RNA". It matches the Rfam family "Bacterial small subunit ribosomal RNA", at positions 29 to 523 of the family's 1533-position model. The record is from RNAcentral.